GAGCGGUAGAGAGAAGCUUGCUUCUCUUGAGAGCGGCGGACGGGUGAGUAAUGCCUAGGAAUCUGCCUGGUAGUGGGGGAUAACGUUCGGAAACGGACGCUAAUACCGCAUACGUCCUACGGGAGAAAGCAGGGGACCUUCGGGCCUUGCGCUAUCAGAUGAGCCUAGGUCGGAUUAGCUAGUUGGUGGGGUAAUGGCUCACCAAGGCGACGAUCCGUAACUGGUCUGAGAGGAUGAUCAGUCACACUGGAACUGAGACACGGUCCAGACUCCUACGGGAGGCAGCAGUGGGGAAUAUUGGACAAUGGGCGAAGGCCUGAUCCAGCCAUGCCGCGUGUGUGAAGAAGGUCUUCGGAUUGUAAAGCACUUUAAGUUGGGAGGAAGGGUUGUAGAUUAAUACUCUGCAAUUUUGACGUUACCGACAGAAUAAGCACCGGCUAACUCUGUG
This 448-nucleotide ribosomal RNA is filed under the name uncultured bacterium. Its description in RNAcentral is "bacterial SSU rRNA". It matches the Rfam family "Bacterial small subunit ribosomal RNA", at positions 64 to 507 of the family's 1533-position model. The record is from RNAcentral.